RNAcentral lists this unclassified non-coding RNA (231 nucleotides) under fungal sp. RNAcentral's name for it is "partial internal transcribed spacer region". The record is from RNAcentral. Lineage: Eukaryota; Fungi.
AAAGUCGUAACAAGGUUUCCGUGCGGAAGGAUCAUUAUUGAAUUUUCAUUCAAUUACGUAUGUGAACCAGCCGAACCACAAGCUGUGUACAGUCCUUCGGCUUUAAUGCCCUAGUCUGUAACCGAGUGUGUAGGCCCAACCACUGACGGACUUUGAGCCGUCAGUUUUGACUGUGACUGAAACAUCUUUAAUCAUUAAAGACAACUUUAAGCAAUGGAUCUCUAGGCUCUC